CCGCCACAGGGCUAAACGGGGGAACCAAGCGGAUGGGCUCAGCUGAUACCUGGCUGGAUGUUCCACCUUCGGAUUAACCCCGGGGACGGUUUGCAACCCAGGAGAUUUGUGUUUUGUUUUGGGUCUUUAGUUAGUGGCAGAGAAGAGCCAGCACCCUCCCCAGCUACAGCAUUUCCUUCCUGCCACCAUUAAUAAGGCAUCAUGAGGGCUGGAGAGCAAGACCAGAUGGCAAGGAAAAGACCAUUUUCCCUGAAGCUGCAGUGAAACCUCUGAUUUGAUUCACAAUCUCCAGGGUGGUAAAUAUGCUCCUGGCCCGUCCUGGCUGUCAUUUGAAAGCCUGACGAACCAGCUGCCUUUGAAGAAUUCGUCAGCCGGAGCAGGGUUGGCCCGUGACAGCCGUUGGCCCCGCCACAGCUGCAUGAUUCAGCCGAGCUGGUAUUUAGAUUUGACAGCCUGAUUGGCAGCACAGUCGUCUGAGUCAAUGCAGGGCUGUGAACGGUGCCUGCUUCAUUCUGAGCCAGACUCACAGCACAGUGAGAUCCCCGCCCCCGCCUCCCGCCACCAUGGGGGCUUGAGCCCCAGCCAGAGGGACUCUGCCUACCCCAUGAGCUCCAUCAACAUGGCUCAUCGGCUCCUGGGCCUUCCCACUGAGCGAGGGGCCUGUUUGGCCAGCCGGGGCAGCCCACGCAGGCUGCCAGGUGGGAACAACUUUUCCAGGUGGCUUCUGCACCGGGUGUCCCGGGAGCGAAAUCCCCCCUCGCCACAUGCUCAGUCUCUUCACCUUGGUAACAUCCUCCUGACCUGUGCUGCGUGUACACGCCCAGCCAUCGAUUCGUUCCCUCCAAGGGCCGGGACGUGCGGCCCCACCUGCCACUCCCCUGCGCCCCCGUCAGGGGGGUUCCGGGCUCGGUGCGGGCACAUCCUGCCCUCGCGCGGAGCACACACAAUGCUGCAACGGCCGGAGAUCCCCAGGGGAGAUAAAAACGCUGCUUUUGUUACUCGGCUCCUAUUUCCGGCUCCGCUGCGGCUGAGCGACAGGCCAGAAUUUCUGCAGGUCUGGCUGCAGCAGCGUCUGCACAGUCCUCGGGCAGAGCACUGGGGGCUGCUCAAUCUGUUCCCAGCGCAAACCUCUGCUACAGGCUUUCCCAGGCUCUGUAUGAAAUGAGGGGGUGUAGAACUAGAGGGGGGCAGAGCACACGACCCAGAGUCCAGCCCCCUCGCCCCAGCCUGGUUUGCGGCAUUGAAGAGACCGUGCAAUUGUGGAGGGCUGCACUGCCUGGGUUCCCCUGCAGUGGGCUAGGAACUGCCAAGCAACUCUGCCAUUGACUCACUCUAGGCCUGGAGCAAGUCCCUUCUCCUCUCUCGGCCUCCCUGUCCCCAUCUGCAAAGCCAAGCACGAGGGAGGGUAACAGGGUAACGUGAGAUGGAAACAGGACCGCCCAGAGGAUUCAGGGGGCCUGGGGCAAAGCAA
Non-coding RNA from Chelonoidis abingdonii (Abingdon island giant tortoise), 1471 nucleotides. The record is from RefSeq and is a predicted model, not a curated record. NCBI's taxonomy places the organism in Eukaryota, Metazoa, Chordata, Testudines, Testudinidae.